CCUACGGGAGGCAGCAGUGGGGAAUAUUGCGCAAUGGGCGAAAGCCUGACGCAGCGACGCCGCGUGAGGGAUGAAGGUCUUCGGAUCGUAAACCUCUGUCAGCAGGGAAGAACGGUCACUGUGCUAAUCAGCAGUGAAUUGACGGUACCUGCAAAGGAAGCACCGGCUAACUCCGGGCCAGCAGCCGCGGUAAUACGGAGGGUGCGAGCGUUAGUCGGAAUUACUGGGCGUAAAGCGCUCGUAGGCGGGAGGUCAAGUCAAGGGGGAAAUCCCCGCGCGCAACGUGGGAACUGCCUUUGAAACUGGCAAACUGGAGUGUGUGAGAGGAUAGUGGAAGUCCAGGGGUAGGAGUGAAAUCCGUAGAUAUCUGGAGGAACAUCAGUGGCGAAGGCGACUAUCUGGCACAUAACUGACGCUGAGGAGCGAAAGCGUGGGUAGCAAACAGGAUUAGAUACCCUUGUAGUC
Molecule: ribosomal RNA, 465 nt
Filed under: uncultured bacterium
Lineage: Bacteria
Description: partial 16S ribosomal RNA
Rfam family: Bacterial small subunit ribosomal RNA
Source: RNAcentral